This 274-nucleotide unclassified non-coding RNA is filed under the name uncultured fungus. RNAcentral's name for it is "partial contains small subunit ribosomal RNA, internal transcribed spacer 1, and 5.8S ribosomal RNA". The stretch from base 1 to 73 matches the Rfam family "Eukaryotic small subunit ribosomal RNA", at positions 1759 to 1831 of the family's 1831-position model. Lineage: Eukaryota; Fungi. The record is from RNAcentral.
GCAAACUUGGUCAUUUAGAGGAAGUAAAAGUCGUAACAAGGUUUCCGUAGGUGAACCUGCGGAAGGAUCAUUAAAGAUUUAGUCAUCUUAUCCACCUCGUGUGCAGCCUUACAAGUCUGAUAUCCUUGGAGAGAUCAAUCUUUGAAACUCUCCAAGGAGGUUAUCACGAUCAAUGUAUCUUUUCUUUACUCUUCUAUGUCUAAAUCAAUAAAUUUAAUUUGAAACAACUUUCAACAACGGAUCUCUUGGCUCUCGCAUCGAUGAAGAACGCAGC